GGCGAACGGGUGAGUAACGCGUGGGUAAUCUACCUUUGGGGCAGGGAUAACUCCCCGAAAGGGGUGCUAAUACCUGAUACGAUGCGGGUUUCACAAGGAGUCCGCAUGAAAGGUGACCUCUUCCUUGAAAGUUGCCGCUCGAAGAUGAGCCCGCGUCCCAUUAGCUCGUUGGUGGGGUAAUGGCCCACCAAGGCGAAGAUGGGUAGCUGGUCUGAGAGGAUGAUCAGCCACACUGGAACUGAGACACGGUCCAGACUCCUACGGGAGGCAGCAGUGGGGAAUAUUGCGCAAUGGGGGAAACCCUGACGCAGCAACGCCGCGUGAGUGAUGAAGGCCUUCGGGUCGUAAAGCUCUGUCAGGUGGGAAGAAAAAGGAGAUCACCAAUAAGGGUUUCCUUUGACGGUACCACCAGAGGAAGCACCGGCUAACUCCGUGCCAGCAGCCGCGGUAAUACGGAGGGUGCAAGCGUUGUUCGGAAUCACUGGGCGUAAAGCGCGUGCAGGCGGCCUGUUAAGUCAGGUGUGAAAUCCCUUG
This 534-nucleotide ribosomal RNA is filed under the name uncultured Pseudomonadota bacterium. Its description in RNAcentral is "bacterial SSU rRNA". It matches the Rfam family "Bacterial small subunit ribosomal RNA", at positions 97 to 606 of the family's 1533-position model. The record is from RNAcentral. Lineage: Bacteria; Pseudomonadati; Pseudomonadota.